This 86-nucleotide transfer RNA is filed under the name Oscillospiraceae bacterium. RNAcentral describes it as "tRNA-Leu". It matches the Rfam family "tRNA". From Rfam's summary of the family: Transfer RNA (tRNA) molecules are approximately 80 nucleotides in length. Their secondary structure includes four short double-helical elements and three loops (D, anti-codon, and T loops). Further hydrogen bonds mediate the characteristic L-shaped molecular structure. tRNAs have two regions of fundamental functional importance: the anti-codon, which is responsible for specific mRNA codon recognition, and the 3' end, to which the tRNAs corresponding amino acid is attached (by aminoacyl-tRNA synthetases). tRNAs cope with the degeneracy of the genetic code in two manners: having more than one tRNA (with a specific anti-codon) for a particular amino acid; and 'wobble' base-pairing, i.e. permitting non-standard base-pairing at the 3rd anti-codon position. The record is from RNAcentral. Lineage: Bacteria; Bacillati; Bacillota; Clostridia; Eubacteriales; Oscillospiraceae.
GCCGGUGUGUUGGAAUGGUAGACGAGGAGGACUCAAAAUCCUUUGGUAGCGAUACCGUGUGGGUUCGAGUCCCACCACCGGCACCA